Molecule: RNA transcript, 2495 nt
Organism: Pezoporus flaviventris
Lineage: Eukaryota; Metazoa; Chordata; Aves; Psittaciformes; Psittacidae
Gene: NASP
Gene name: nuclear autoantigenic sperm protein
Exons: 15
Source: RefSeq, a predicted model, not a curated record
UCCCCCCGCGGAGUGCGCGCGCCGCGAGGCGGGCCGGGGCGUGUCCUCGGGGGUAUAUAGGAGGCCGGAGGGGAAGGGGUCUACACUCCGCCGCCGCCGCCCCUGUCUACCGCAGCUUCUAUGCAAUCUCCGGCUGUCGCCGCUCCCCCUUGCGUCGAGUCCGCGCCGGCCUCCACGACGAGGAUGGAAGAGGAAUUGGCAGCUCCUUCCACAUCCACAGACAAGACAGACAGUAUGGAUGUGGAUGGAGAAUCAAAGAAACUAUUGGGUUUAGGACAGAAACACUUGGUAAUGGGAAAUAUUCCGGCUGCUGUUAAUGCAUUCCAGGAAGCUGCGAGCUUACUGGGUAAGAAAUACGGUGAGACAGCGGAUGAGUGUGCGGAAGCUUUUUUUUACUAUGGGAAAUCUCUUCUGGAGUUGGCAAGAAUGGAAAAUGGCGUGCUGGGAAAUGCCUUAGAAGGGGUGCAGGUUGAAGAGGAAGGAGAAAAAGCUGAAGAUGAUUCUGCAUUACCAGCUGCUGAUGAAGAAGCAAGGAAGGACUUGAGAGAACAGGUAUAUAACGCUAUGGGUGAAAAAGAAGAGGCCAAAAAGUCAACAGGAGAGUCUCCAGUGGUAUCUGAGAAGGAAAACAUAGAGAAGGAUGUUGAAGUGAAAGAUAUCGUGGAAGAAAAAACAGAAGAAGGAAGUGCUGACAAGGAUGUAAAGCCUGAAGAGGCUGAAGAGAAAAUGGAGGUUUCUGUGGAAAAAGAAGUAGCUUCAGAAGAGCAGAAGCAGCAGGAAGCUAUGGAGAAGGAGGCCACAAAAGAGGAGGCAGCUGCAGAAGAGAAGGUAGUGGAAAAAGAGCAGAAGGUGAUGUCUGAAGACAAGGUAGCAGAGGCAACUGAGGAGAUGGAGAGCACAACAGAAGUGAUGGAUGAGGAGGCAAAGGCAGCUGUGGAAGACGCUGGAGCUGGAAGAGUGGCUGUGGAAAAGAAGGGAGAGCAGGCAGCAGAAGCAACAGAAAAAAAGCCUGCUGUGGAGAAGGGAGAGGCUGUAGAAGGGCAGGCAGAGACAGCUGUGGAUGAGAAGGCAGUAGCACAAGUGACAGCAGAAGCACAGGCAGCAGUUUCUGUGGAGAAGGACACUGCAGAAAGGGAACCAGAGGCAGCUGAACAGAAGAAGGUGGAGGAGAAGCAAGAGCCAGUAGAGACCACUACGGAAGAGAAGCCAGAUGAAUCUAAAGAGACAGAGUCCUCAAAGGAGCCUGUGCCCACAGAGGGUAAAGAGCUGUCUAAGGACCUGGAAGAAAAGGCUGAAGUAGCUGCUAAGGUAGAGAAAGAGGAACAGAAAGAUGACCUGAUGGAAGAGGGUGAAGGUGCUAAGGUAGAGAAAGAAGAGAAAGAUGACCUCAUGCAAGAGGGAGAAGAAACAGAAGAAUCUGAAGAAGAAGAUAAAGAAAAUGAUAAAGCUGAAGAUGAUAAGGAGAAUGAAUUGACAGUGGAAGACAAGUCUUUACAGGAGAGUGAGGAGGAUGAAAUUGGAAAUCUUGAGCUGGCCUGGGACAUGUUGGAGUUAGCAAAAGUCAUCUACAAGAGACAAGAAACAAAAGAAGCUCAGCUCCAUGCAGCUCAAGCUCAUCUGAAGCUAGGAGAAGUUAGCAUUGAAUCUGAAAACUACACACAGGCUAUAGAAGAGUUCCAGGCCUGCCUUGCCCUGCAGCAGAAGUACCUGGAGGCUCAUGACCGCCUGCUUGCUGAGAGCCACUACCAGCUGGCUCUGGCAUAUCACUACAACAGCCAGUUCGAUGAGGCCGUUCUGCAGUUUGGCAAAUCUGUGGAGGUCAUUGACAAGAGGCUGGCAAUGCUUACUGAGCGGAUAAAGAAGGCAGAAGGUGGGUGUCCUGAAGAUGAGAAAGAGAUUGAAGAACUGAAGGGACUGCUUCCUGAAAUCAGAGAAAAGAUAGAAGAUUCAAAGGAGUCUCAAAAGAGUGCAAGAGUAGCUGAGUUGGCACUGAAAGCAACUCUGGUUGGAACUACAUCUGGCUUUGCACAAAGUGAAGACAGCGGCUCUGUUUCCACAAUUCCGGUAAGAAAAGCAGCUGAUGGUGCAUCUCAGUGUGUUACAGACAUCUCUCACCUAGUCAGGAAAAAGAGGAAACCAGAGGAGGAGACUCACCAGGGAGACAAUGAAGCUAAGAAAUCUAAACCAGAGCCGGCUGUCAAUGGUGGUGGUGGUGGUACUGUCCCCAGUGGAAAUGAGGUUGCAGAAAAAAUGGAAGAGGAGGUGGGCAGCUGAGGCAGGACCCUGCCCUGGGCUUUGGUUUCCUUUUUUCCUCCCUCCUCUGUUCAGACAGAGAAAAGGCCACAGGCAGAAUCAGGGGCUGCAGUUGAAAGCACAGUAUGAUAAUUCUUUAACCUUGGACACUCCUCUCCUUACAAGGAAAAUGGUUUUGUAUAUAGUGUAUUUUUUCACUUUUUGGCAACUUUUGUAUGACUUCAAUAAAGAUUGUAAGCAAA